GGAGGAAAGUAGGGGAUCGCAAGACCUUGCGCUAAAGGAGCGGCCGAUGUCUGAUUAGUUAGUUGGUGGGGUAAAGGCCUACCAAGGCAACGAUCAGUAGCUGGUCUGAGAGGACGAUCAGCCACACUGAAUGAGACACGGCCCAGACUCCUACGGGAGGCAGCAGUGGGGAAUUUUGGACAAUGGGCGAAAGCCUGAUCCAGCCAUGCCGCGUGAAUGAAGAAGGCCUUCGGGUUGUAAAGUUCUUUUAGUUGGAAAGAAAAAAUUAUGAUGAAUAAUCAUAAUUCAUGACGGUACCGACAGAAAAAGCACCGGCUAACUACGUGCCAGCAGCCGCGGUAAUACGUAGGGUGCAAGCGUUAAUCGGAAUUACUGGGCGUAAAGG
This 385-nucleotide ribosomal RNA is filed under the name uncultured Nitrosomonas sp. Its description in RNAcentral is "bacterial SSU rRNA". It matches the Rfam family "Bacterial small subunit ribosomal RNA", at positions 198 to 566 of the family's 1533-position model. The record is from RNAcentral. Lineage: Bacteria; Pseudomonadati; Pseudomonadota; Betaproteobacteria; Nitrosomonadales; Nitrosomonadaceae.